RNAcentral lists this long non-coding RNA (1360 nucleotides) under Lactuca sativa (garden lettuce). RNAcentral describes it as "long non-coding RNA (LSAT_LNC007178)". The record is from RNAcentral. Lineage: Eukaryota; Viridiplantae; Streptophyta; Magnoliopsida; Asterales; Asteraceae.
AUCUAAUAUGGUAUCAAAAUCUAUGAAUAUAAAUAAAACACCUUUUAUUUAUCACCAUAUGAUUACACAUUAUUCAUUGUAUAUUGUUUCAGCUAUCAACUUUAUUCUUGAAUUUAAAACAAUAGUAGUCCCAUGCUCCAAGCAUGUACAUUAUGUUUUCAUAACACUAGUCAUGCCACACACCAAGUAUGCAUACUAUGCUUGUCUAUGAUCUUCACUUUGUGAAUUAGAUCAAUUGAACAUAACUCUAAUGAUCCUCUUUCACAGUCCCAAAUCCUUACUGCAAGUGCAAGAAUUCCAAAUUCAUGCCAUUUACUGAAAUCUGUUAGAUUCUAAACUUAUAUGCAUUGAUCUUCUUGUAAUGAUUAUGCACAAAGUCAGAAAGACUUGACAACAAUCAUUACAGAGCAUUCCAAAGGAGAUCAACUCCUUGGAAACAUCCUUCUUGCAUUAAGUUUCCUUAAUCUUACACAGAUUGAAAAUUCUAACUUUGAAACAUUUCCAGAUUCCAUUUUGACUAUCACUUCUGAACAAGAGUUGCCUCCUUACAGAUUAUGUCAAUAUGGUCCUUCCAGAAUUAUCACUAUACUUCCAACUGUCCUUGAGCAACCAAUCUUUGGUAAACCUUAGAUUGUCCUCGACAAUUGUUUAAUCCUUUUAGUCAUAUCCAGUUCUAAACCUUUUCCCUUCUUAAUGCCCCAGGCAUUUGGAAAAUUUUAGAACGGAUGAAUAUAGCACAUGUAAUCGAUCCUAUAUCCGAAGCAUAUGGGACACGAUUCAUGAUGUCUUACAUAAAGACUAAACCAGUCUUUUGCUAUAAUAUUUCCAUUUCAAUUUGCCAAGUUCUCAUAAUUCAGAUUAUGAAAAGGGAUGCCGUAAUCAUAAUCGAAUUUUAGAACGCAAAUAAUGGACCCAUAUACAGAAUUUCCUUAUGUUGAGCCAUUCCAACAUGAAAUUCAUAUAUAUCCUUGACUAAAUGANUAGAUCAAUUGAACAUAACUCCAAUGAUCCUUUUUCACAGUCCCAAAUCCUUACUGCAAAUGCAAGAAUUCCAAAUUCAUGCCAUUUACUGAAAUCUGUUAGAUUCUAAACUUAUAUGCAUUGAUCUUCUUGUAAUGAUUAUGCACAAAGUCAGAAAGACUUGACAACAACCACUACAGAGCAUUCCAAAGGAUAUCAACUCCUUGGAAACAUCCUUCUUGCAUUAAGUUUCCUAAUCUUACACAGAUUGAAUACUUUCUAACUUUGAAACAUUUCCAGAUUCCAUUUUGACUAUCACUAUACUUCCAACUGUCCUUGAGCAACCAAUAUUUGGUAAACCUUAGAUUGUCCACGACAAUUGUUUAAUCCUUUUAGUCAU